This 441-nucleotide long non-coding RNA is filed under the name Mytilus galloprovincialis (Mediterranean mussel). The record is from RNAcentral. Lineage: Eukaryota; Metazoa; Mollusca; Bivalvia; Mytilida; Mytilidae.
UGGAAAUUGAACCAGAGACGUAUAUGUCUGAUUGAACCAAAAAUAUUUUUUUUUAGCAGUUUUUUUUUUUUUUUUUUUUUUUUUUAUAAAGUAUUGUUAUGUUUACCAGGGAAAAUGAAACAACAAACAUAUCUUGUUUGUUUAAUAACACUCUUUAAUACCAGUGUUUACAAUAUCAAAAACGUAUCCGUGGUAUCCGUAUAUAUGAGUAUAUGAUCGUAUCAUGAUCUAUCACUUUGAAAACGAGUAGUCGUUCGUCGAUUGACAGAGUUGUCUUUUCAUCAAUACAAAUGGCGGUCGGAAACGAAAAGUCAAACGGUUAAUUUAGGAGAGAUAAAAAGCUUCGGUUUUGCUAUAAACGAUGUUUAAAUGACAAAAAACGAGUGAUAAGAUAAAUAAGAAGACUCGGAUAUAAUGAUUUGCUGAAUUAUAUCCGUUUAA